UACAGAGGGGGCAAGCGUUGCUCGGAAUCACUGGGCGUAAAGCGCACGUAGGCGGAUUGCUAAGUCAGGGGUGAAAUCCUGGAGCUCAACUCCAGAACUGCCUUUGAUACUGGCGAUCUUGAGUCCGGGAGAGGUGAGUGGAACUGCGAGUGUAGAGGUGAAAUUCGUAGAUAUUCGCAAGAACACCAGUGGCGAAGGCGGCUCACUGGCCCGGUACUGACGCUGAGGUGCGAAAGCGUGGGGAGCAAACAGG
RNAcentral lists this ribosomal RNA (253 nucleotides) under uncultured bacterium. RNAcentral describes it as "partial 16S ribosomal RNA". It matches the Rfam family "Bacterial small subunit ribosomal RNA", at positions 524 to 776 of the family's 1533-position model. The record is from RNAcentral.